CCUACGGGAGGCAGCAGUGGGGGAUAUUGCACAAUGGACGAAACUCUGAUGCAGCGACGCCGCGUGAGGGAAGACGGUCUUCGGAUUGUAAACCUCUGUCUUUGGAGAAGAAAAUGAAGGUACCCAAAGAGGAAGCUCCGGCUUACUACGUGCCAGCAGCCGGGGUUAUAUGUAGGGAGCGAGCGUUGUCCGGAAUUACGUGGUGUAAAGGGAGCUUAGGCGGGCGAGAAAGUUGAAUGUUAAAUCUACCGGCUUAACUGGGAGCUGCGUUCAAAACUGCUUGUCUUGAGUGAAGUAGAGGCAGGCGGAAUUCCUAGUGUAGCGGUGAAAUGCGUAGAUAUUAGGAGGAACACCAGUGGCGAAGGCGGCCUGCUGGGCUUUAACUGACGCUGAGGCUCGAAAGCGUGGGGAGCAAACAGGAUUAGAUACCCUUGUAGUC
This 439-nucleotide ribosomal RNA is filed under the name uncultured bacterium. Its description in RNAcentral is "partial 16S ribosomal RNA". It matches the Rfam family "Bacterial small subunit ribosomal RNA", at positions 338 to 795 of the family's 1533-position model. The record is from RNAcentral.